GUAGGGUGCGAGCGUUAAUCGGAAUUACUGGGGGCGUAAAGCGUGCGCAGGCGGUUGUGCAAGACAGAUGUGAAAUCCCCCGGGGCUCAACCUGGGGAAUUGCAUUUGUGACUGCACGGCUAGAGUGUGUCAGAGGGGGGCAGAAUUCCACGUGUAGCAGUGAAAUGCGUAGAGAUGUGGAGGAAUACCGAUGGCGAAGGCAGCCCCCUGGGAUAACACUGACGCUCAUGCACGAAAGCGUGGGGAGCAAACAGGAUUAGAUACCCUGGUAGUCCACGCCCUAAACGAUGUCAACUAGUUGUCGGGUCUUAAUUGACUUGGUAACGCAGCUAACGCGUGAAGUUGACCGCCUGGGGAGUACGGUCGCAAGAUUA
This 374-nucleotide ribosomal RNA is filed under the name uncultured organism. RNAcentral describes it as "partial 16S ribosomal RNA". It matches the Rfam family "Bacterial small subunit ribosomal RNA", at positions 527 to 896 of the family's 1533-position model. The record is from RNAcentral.